UGUACAUACUAAAACAGAAAUAAAAGCCUUGAACGCCAGCUGAAAUGGAUUAGUUUAUGUGCGCUCACGUAUUUACUUUUAUAUACAUUUCCGAUUCUUUGUGGUUGUGCAAAAACAUAUGCUCGGCGAUAAGACAAGGCGCCGCUUAUGACGUGUGAAAAAGCGAAAAGCGCAACCAUAUGAUUCUGAUAAGCCGGCAAGGGAAAAUGAAACUUUCGCUGCGAAAAUACGAAAACGAUCGAAAGAAAGGCCGCGAGGAAAAUAAAUAACCAAAACUGUACAGUAUUUUCCACACUGAAAAGUGCAAAAGAAGAAAGAAAAAAAAGGAAGAGAGCGCGAGAGCAGCGUGUAAAUAAAAGCAAAGCAAAACCAUCUGAUGAUACGAAUAUACCGGUACAGCUGAUUUCAUUUCAACUAUGAACGCGCAAGAGGAAGAAAUAGAAACGUUGAUUAGGCAAUGCACGAUAAGCGAAGAGGUGAGCCCGAGGGCGGGUGAGGGGGAGAGGCGGUGCGGGUGCGCAGCUGUUUUUUACCUCCGUUAAUUCGAACAUGUGAGCUAGCGCGAAUUGGCAGCUGAGCGCGAGAGCCGGAGCAUGGGAGAGGGGCGGAGGAGCGAAGAGAGCCAGCGCGAUCGACAGCUACGAAAAAUAGCAAAAGGAGCUGUAACAAAUUAGACCAAAUUUUGGAGGAAGGGAAAUAGUGAAAAUAAACACAAAAGGGGCAUUAAAUAAUUCCAGGAAUAAUUAAAAAAUAUAUUAUAAAUCUUUGGAGUGAAAGCCAAAAUAAAAUGUUUUUAAGCCUCCCUAGCAUGACCAAUAUUUGUACCAGCAGUGUGGCCCGUCUGCCGACGCUGCUGACAAAUUGACAAAACAGCCGUUUUACAAUAUGGACGACCGAAGGCAGAGCGGCAGGCCAAACGGAGAGAGCGAGGCGAGGCGAGGAGAGGAGAGCAGAGGAACAGACACGAAAGAUGGGAGCAAAAAGAAGCGUCACAUUUAUUCCAGCAACAAGAAAACGGCAUGGAAGUGGAAAUGGAAUGCGACGUACACGCUGGUGUGUGAGCAGAGGCCUUAAUGGUGGUGGUGUUUUUGUGCCGUAUUUGUUUUGUCGGCAAAACGGCGGCAAAAGGCGGGCGAGCGAGAGAGAGAGAGAGAGAGAGGGCGAGAGCGGCACCCGGAGAGCGCACUAGCAAGUAGUAAAAAUAAUCAAUAAUUUGCGUGAUAAAAAUGCAAGCCAAGCUGUUGACUCGCCCCGCUGCUGUUGUUGCAUGGAUCCCCCCCUCCCCACUGUCCGCAAACAUUUCGCAACCGAGGGCCAAACUUACUGCAAUU
This is a long non-coding RNA of Drosophila biarmipes, 1331 nucleotides long. RefSeq lists it as uncharacterized. Lineage: Eukaryota; Metazoa; Arthropoda; Insecta; Diptera; Drosophilidae. The record is from RefSeq and is a predicted model, not a curated record. The transcript is spliced from 3 exons.